UCCUUCUUCACAUCCUCGUCUUCUCUCUCUAAAAAAACUCGCUCCCCCUCUGUUCCUCUCUAGGGUUUCAGCGCCGCUUUGUGCUCUUUGCGAUCGGAGAGUUUAGCUUCUACGGCUCUAUCAGUCACCGUCACCGCGAGCUUCAGGUAAUUACAUUUUCAUCUGCUUAAAUUUUAUUUUUUGAUUCUUCAUUUACGUGGAAGUAAUUAGGUUUGAUUACAAUGGUCGAUCUAUUUUUUUCUGAUCUGAUUCGCAAUUUAUUCUUCUCAAGGCUGAGUUCUGAAUUCGGCAAAAAGGGUUGUCAUUGAUGAUCUAUGAAAUGUAAUAUGUAGUUAAAUAUUAGUUAUUUUGAUUAUUCUACUAAAUACCACUGAAUUUGCUAAGGUUAGUUUAUUGUUUGCCUUUAUUCUGACAGCUUGAGUUAAUUGAGUUCGAGGGAAUUUCUAUUCUAGCUGUAACACUGGCAUGGAAUGACUCUUCCCUUUGUAAAUUUGAAGAGGCUAUUCAAACUUAUGAGUUAUCUAUGUACCAGGUAUAUGGAGGUUGUCAUCUCCACCUGUCAAUGUUUUUCUUUCAUUUUCCUUCUUUAUAUGAUGAACUAUAAAACUUCAAACUCAGGAAUUUCAGUUUCCUUCUUUAUGGGAUGAUUUGUAUUCUCUCAAUAAUUUUCUGUAUAUGGGAUUAAAUGUACCCACUGAACACUAUGUGAGUCUUCCUCUAAACAGAGAGGUGUGUAUAUAUGCAAUUUAUAUUUCCAACCAUAAAUGGGGUGUUUCCUUGUUUAUAUAUUAAGAAGGAAUUAGUUGUGGGUUUUUAGUAAGCGAACUAGAUGGGCAAGGAUGGUGAAUAAAUGAAGAUGAUAAGGUUUACAGUCUAUUUUGAUUCCUACUUAUUUGGAGGCAGGAAUUUUCAAUCUAUUUGGUUUACUAGAAUUUAACCAAUUUCCAUUCAUAAUUCAGUAUUACAGUUUUAGAUAUUCUUACAUUUCUAUAUUAUAUUAAGCUAUUGUCAAACAAUUAUUUUUUCUUUUAAUUUCUUUAGGCCAGACAUAAUUCAUGGCUCAUCACAGAGGAAUGCCGCAGCAAAUACAUCCGCUCUACUUUCAUAAAGUUCAAUACGGUGAAUAAUAAUAAUGCUCAAAUGGUAAAUUUCUCAGCUUUCAAUUUAAUAGUCUAAAUUUAUUUUUACCCGAGCUCUAUUAAAGGUUUGCUUUGAUUCACUCUAGCAUAUCACCUCCCAUCAAGGUAACAGUGUUAUCACAAUAACAAUUAUAGGCUAAACCAUUUAUUCUUUAUCCUCCCUCUCUAUGAACUGGUAAAACAUAUGGUAUGUUGUAUGACUUUUAGUUUUGAGAAAUUGGGUAUUAACUCAUUUAAGUGUAUCUGAUAAGUAAAUGGAACAUUGAUAUAAU
RNAcentral lists this long non-coding RNA (1411 nucleotides) under Panax ginseng (ginseng). RNAcentral describes it as "long non-coding RNA (PGIN_LNC018209)". The record is from RNAcentral. Lineage: Eukaryota; Viridiplantae; Streptophyta; Magnoliopsida; Apiales; Araliaceae.